Transfer RNA from Thielaviopsis punctulata, 74 nucleotides. It matches the Rfam family "tRNA". From Rfam's summary of the family: Transfer RNA (tRNA) molecules are approximately 80 nucleotides in length. Their secondary structure includes four short double-helical elements and three loops (D, anti-codon, and T loops). Further hydrogen bonds mediate the characteristic L-shaped molecular structure. tRNAs have two regions of fundamental functional importance: the anti-codon, which is responsible for specific mRNA codon recognition, and the 3' end, to which the tRNAs corresponding amino acid is attached (by aminoacyl-tRNA synthetases). tRNAs cope with the degeneracy of the genetic code in two manners: having more than one tRNA (with a specific anti-codon) for a particular amino acid; and 'wobble' base-pairing, i.e. permitting non-standard base-pairing at the 3rd anti-codon position. NCBI's taxonomy places the organism in Eukaryota, Fungi, Ascomycota, Sordariomycetes, Microascales, Ceratocystidaceae. The record is from Rfam.
GAUUCCUUAACUUAAUUCGGUUAAAGUGCAUCCUUGAUAAGGAUGAAAUUAGCGUUCAAGUCGCUAAGGAAUUA